This 369-nucleotide ribosomal RNA is filed under the name uncultured bacterium. RNAcentral describes it as "bacterial SSU rRNA". It matches the Rfam family "Bacterial small subunit ribosomal RNA", at positions 335 to 698 of the family's 1533-position model. The record is from RNAcentral.
ACUCCUACGGGAGGCAGCAGUCGGGAAUUUUGGGCAAUGGGCGAAAGCCUGACCCAGCAACGCCGCGUGAAGGAUGAAAUCCCUCGGGAUGUAAACUUCGCAAGAACAGGAAGAAUAAGUAGGGGACAAUACCCCCUAUGAUGACGGUACUGUUUGUAAGCUCCGGCUAACUCCGUGCCAGCAGCCGCGGUAAUACGGGGGGAGCAAGCGUUGUUCGGAUUUACUGGGCGUAAAGGGCGCGUAGGCGGCCUGUGCAAGUCAGUUGUGAAAUCUCCGGGCUUAACUCGGAACGGUCAACUGAUACUGCUCGGCUAGAGUGCGGAAGGGGCAACUGGAAUUCUUGGUGUAGCGGUGAAAUGCGUAGAGAUC